AUGGGAAAUACUCUGGGAGAAUCGGAAGGUUUCAGGGUCAGUUUAAAGUCAAGCUAAGGAGAUUGCGACUCGUGGAGCAAUCACAAUCGUCCAUCUCUACCGGACAAUUCUUGACUGUUACUCGUCUUCUUCCGUUUCUUAUAUCGAUCUGUAAUUCUGUUUUUCUCUUUACGAUUCAUAAGUUUGUUAAAUCGAGAGAGUAGAGAGAGAGAGAGCAGAACGAUUGUAGUGAGAGAGAGCUCGGUUUUGAGCUAAGAGUUUUAGUGGAUUCCGGAGAAAUCUUCGGCGAGACGUAGGAUUCCAAAUCGGAAUCGAACUCGUAAAAUCUCUCAUGUCCGUUCUAAGUUUCUUUGUGUUCAGCAUCAAACGAGAGAGAGAGAGAGAGAGAGAG
Molecule: small RNA, 391 nt
Filed under: Arabidopsis thaliana (thale cress)
Lineage: Eukaryota; Viridiplantae; Streptophyta; Magnoliopsida; Brassicales; Brassicaceae
Description: ATSL028970
Source: RNAcentral